Hemiscyllium ocellatum (epaulette shark) is the source of this 388-nucleotide long non-coding RNA. RefSeq lists it as uncharacterized. The record is from RefSeq and is a predicted model, not a curated record. The transcript has 2 exons. Lineage: Eukaryota; Metazoa; Chordata; Chondrichthyes; Orectolobiformes; Hemiscylliidae.
UUCGCCCCGAGGUGCAGUGUCUGUGAGGGGCCCAUUAUUCCCGAGGAAGGGAAGGAGGAGACUGUCCGCAUCAUGGCCCUCGGGAGGAACUUUCACCCUCAGUGUUACCGCUGCGAGGAUUGCUCGAAGCAGCUCUCUUCUGAGGCGAAUGAAGACGGCUGCUUCCCUCUUGAUGAUCACAUUCUCUGCCUCAACUGCCACCAGUCGCGGGUCAACAAGGGGACGCGCAAGUGACGGAGCCUGCCGCCCGGUCUCCUCUCCACCCGUCAGGCCAUCGUGCAGAAUUCGGACGCGACUCACGCCUCUCUCUCUCUCUGUCUCUGUCUUCCUAAUUUUACGCUUCGCAUUUUAAUCCCGAAAGGAAUAAAAAGAUGAUUUACUUCGUAAA